This is a non-coding RNA of Ctenopharyngodon idella (grass carp), 557 nucleotides long. The record is from the annotation of a RefSeq genome assembly. NCBI's taxonomy places the organism in Eukaryota, Metazoa, Chordata, Actinopteri, Cypriniformes, Xenocyprididae.
UCAGAGAGGAGGGACUCAGAGUUCACAGAUCUGACAUGAUCUAAUCGUGUCUGAAAGAGACUGUGGAUGAAACCAUUCAGUCUGACUCUUCUCAGAGUGAACACUUGUACAAUGAAUCUUCAUUCACUUAUUCUGCUCUGUGUCUCAGCAGCUGCUGUCUUUGGAAAUACCAUCAAACCAGACACAACAGAUGUUGGUGCUGAUGAGGGACAAAAUGUUAAGUUGUCCUGUAGUUAUUCCUCCACUGGAGCUACAGAGUAUUUCUUCUGGUACCAUCAGUAUGGAAGAUCAAAACCUGAAUUUCUUGUUUCCACCUUCAGUACUGAAAAAAAGCCUAAAGAAUCUAAAGUAGAUUCAAGAUUCUCUGUUAAAGUAACAAAAAAGGAACAAAUCCACGUGGAUCUGGAGAUCUCCUCUGCUGCAGUAUCAGACUCUGCUCUGUAUUACUGUGCUCUGAGGCCCACAGUCACAGGAAACACUGUAACUCUGUACAAAAACCCUUCUGUAUUUAAUCCAAUGAGAACAAGUAAUAGACACAGAGACAAAGACUAGAGAAU